Molecule: long non-coding RNA, 5509 nt
Filed under: Solanum tuberosum (potato)
Lineage: Eukaryota; Viridiplantae; Streptophyta; Magnoliopsida; Solanales; Solanaceae
Description: long non-coding RNA (STUB_LNC008814)
Source: RNAcentral
GAAAAUUUCAAAAGGUGGAAGAACAUGUUUUUUCAUUGCUCGAUGUUCAUGGCGUUGCACAUGUAUAAUUACAUCCACAACUGGUCCAGACGUUGAUAACAAAAUUAUGGAAUCAUGAUGACAACAUGCUAACAAGGUAUGUCGUCAUACUAUAUUACAAACUAUUUCUAACAUACUUUUUGAUGUAUACUGUAGCUACAAAGAAGCAAAAGUUAUUUGGGAAGCCUUAAUUAAGUAGUUCACUGCAGAAGAUGCUACCAAACAAAAGUUUGUGGUCGAAAGAUUUUACCAAUGCCAGAUGAGUAAUGAAAGGAGAUGAAAAUUCAAAUCAAUGAAUAUCAAAAAUUGCUUGAAGACUUGAAGGCCGAGGAGAUCAUUCUACCAGAAAAACUUGUUGUUGGAGUGUUGAUUGAGAAAUAGCCGGACUCAUGAAAUGAUUACAAUAAUAACUUAAAGCAUAAGCAAACAAAUUUCACUAUUAAGAAAAUAGUGAUUCACAUUCUAAUCGAAGACACCAACAGAAAGGAGUCAUUCAAAGCAAAGAAGUAGGCAUUCAAAGCAAACUUAGUACAAGGUCAUAACAUCAACAACAAAAGGUAUGGUAAUGAGUCUAAUAAUUACAUGCCUUAUAAUUACAAUUUUAAACAAAAGAAAGGUUCUUGUUUUACUUGUGGAAAAUCAUGUCAUCAUGUCUCAAAAUGUAGGAGGAGAAUAAAAAAUGACAAAGAAAAGGAUUAUCCUCCUAAGGCUAAUUUAGCUGAAGGAGAUGAAAUUAUUGCAGGUGUCAUUUCUCAAGUAAAUAUUGUAGCACAUGUAAAAGAAUGGGUGGUAUUCUCUGGGGCUACUCGGCACAUUUGUACAAAUCGAGAAGCAUUUGCCUCCUAUAUAUUGAUAGGGGAUGACAAUGAAGUAGUCUACCUUGAAGACUCAAGAACUAUUAAAGUGUUGAGUAAGGGUAAAGUGCUCUUGAAACUUACUUCAGGAAAAACUUUAGCCCUUAUGGAUGUACUACAUGUUCCUACAAUGCGUCCUGAUUUCUGUAGCCUUGCUUAAUAAAGUUAGAGUGAAAGUGUCAUUUGAAUGUGAAAAAGAUCAUAUUGACCAAAAAUAAUGUGUUUGUGGGAAAAGACUAUUGCAAACUAGGGAUUUUUGUACUUUAUGUUUGUAAUGUUGUGAAUGAAAAAACAUCCAUUUCUACUUACAUGGUUGAAUCUAUUUCUUAUGGCAUGCUAGAUUAAGACAUGUUAAUUUCUCUUAUAUAAAAAAUAUGCAACCACUUGAUUUGAUAUUUGACUUAGAUUCAAAUAAUAGUAAUAAAUGUGAAUAUGUGCUGAAGUUAAAAUUACUAAAAAGUAUAUAGAGAAACUAAAUUAUUGCCUUUAAUUCACACUGAUUUAGGUGAUUUAAAACAAACAAUGACUAGAGGUGGCAAAAGAUAUUAUGUAACUUUUAUUGAUGGUUUUUCUAGAUUUACAUAGUUAUACUUACUUAGGAAUAAAGAUGAUGCUUUAAUGUUUUUAUUUCUUAUAAAACUGAAGUGGAAAAUCAACUUAAAUAGAAAAAUCAAGAGAAUUAGAUCUGAUAGAGGUGGAGAAUAUUUAUCUUUAAAUGCCUUUUGUGAAAAGGAAGGAAUUAUUCAUGAAGUAACUCCACCUUACUCUCUAGAAUCUAAUGGAGUAGCUGAAAGGAAAAAUAAAACAUUAAAAGAAAUGAUGAACUCCAAGUAAAUUAGUUCUAAUGCACCUAAUAAUUUGUAGGGUGAAGCUACAUUAUCUGCAUGUCACUUACAAACUAGAAUUCCUCGUAAAAGAAAUGACAAAACACCUUAUGAAUUCUGGAAAUGCUAUAAACCUAAUUUGAUACAUUUAAAAGUGUGGGGGUGUCUUGCUAAAGUUCUCUUGCCUGAACCUAAGAAGAGAAAAAUAGGUUCUAAGGCAAUUGAUUGUAUGCUUAUUGGAUAUUCUAAACAUAGUGUUGUAUAUAAAUUUAUUAUUUUAAAAAGUGAUGUGCUUGAUUGCAAUACUAUUAUUGUGACAAAGAAUGUUGAAUUCUUCGAACAUAUUUUUUCACUAUGUGAUAAAAUUUCUCAUGUACCUGUUGAAAAAAAUUAGUGAGUCUACUUCUAAAAUUGAAGAACAAAGGAGUAAAAUGCAUAGGAAAGAACAUAUUUUUUAUGGAAAUGAUUUUCAAACUUUUCUUGUUGACCAUGAGCCAUUAAAUUAUUCUAAAGCAAUAUCUUCUUUUGAUGCUAAAUUUUGGAAAGAGGCAAUAAAAAUUGAAAUUGAUUCAAUUAUGAAAAAUAAUAUAUGAAUUUUAACUGAUUUACCUCCUGGUGCAAAACCUAUUGGUUAUAAAUGAAUUUUCAAAAGAAAAUGUAAUCCUGGUGGAUCUAUAGAUAAAUAUAAAGCUCGGUUAGCGCAAAAGGAUUUUAUCAAAAAUAAAAAAUUGAUUAUUUUGAUACAUUUGUACUAGUGACUAGAAUUUCUUCUAUUUAAAUUUUAAUUGCCUUAGCAUCAAUUCAUAAGCUUUUUAUCCAUCAAAUAGAUGUAAAAAUAACUUUUUUAAAUGGUGAUUUAGAAGAAGAAAUUUAUAAGGUUCAAUCUGAAUAAUGUAUUAUUUAUGGACAAGAAAAUAAAAUUUGUAAAUUAAUUAAAUCUCUUUAUGACCUUAAACAAGCUCCUAAGCAGUGACAUAAAAAAUUUGAUCAAGGCUUGAUGAGAGGUAGUUUUUCUUCUAUAAAAGUGGAUAAAUGUGUUUAUACUAAAAUAAUAGAUAAUGAUUAUGUGAUAAUAUGUUUAUAUGUUGAUGACAUGCUUAUAUUUGGAACCAGUUUAAAUAUUGUGCAGAGUACCAAAUCAUUUUUGUCUACUAAUUUUGAUAUGAGAGAUCUGGGUGAAGUAAAUAUGAUAUUGGGAGUUAAAGUUAUAAGGAGUGAAGAUGGUAUAAUGUUGUCACAAGAACAUUAUGUGGAAAGACUUCUUGAAAAGUUUGAAUGUUUUGAGGUGACACAUGUGGCCACUCCUUAUGAUGCUAAUUCUCAAUUGAAAAAGAAUAAAGGUGACCCAAGUCUAAAUAUGCUCAGAUUAUUCGGAGUGUGAUGCAUUUAAUGAAUUUUACUAGGCUAGAUAUAGCCUAUGUUAUGUGUAGACUGAGUAGAUAUACUCAUAAUUCCAAUAAAGAGCAUUGGUCUGCAUUAAAUAGACUAAUGAAAUAUUUGAGAGGAACAAUGAAUUAUGGUAUCAUGUAUAGUGAUUUCCUUCUAUAGUAGAAGAGUAUUGUGAUGCAAACUGAAUCUCUGAUUCAGAUGGAACAAAAUCCACUAGUGGAUAUGUGUUCACCUUAGGUGGAAAUCCACUAGUGGAUAUGUGUUCACCUUAGGUGGAAAUCCACUAGUGGAUAUGUGUUCACCUUAGGUGGAAAUCCACUAGUGGAUAUGUGUUCACCUUAGGUGGAAAUCCACUAGUGGAUAUGUGUUCACCUUAGGUGGAAAUCCACUAGUGGAUAUGUGUUCACCUUAGGUGGAAAUCCACUAGUGGAUAUGUGUUCACCUUAGGUGGAAAUCCACUAGUGGAUAUGUGUUCACCUUAGGUGGAAAUCCACUAGUGGAUAUGUGUUCACCUUAGGUGGAAAUCCACUAGUGGAUAUGUGUUCACCUUAGGUGGAAAUCCACUAGUGGAUAUGUGUUCACCUUAGGUGGAAAUCCACUAGUGGAUAUGUGUUCACCUUAGGUGGAAAUCCACUAGUGGAUAUGUGUUCACCUUAGGUGGAAAUCCACUAGUGGAUAUGUGUUCACCUUAGGUGGAAAUCCACUAGUGGAUAUGUGUUCACCUUAGGUGGAAAUCCACUAGUGGAUAUGUGUUCACCUUAGGUGGAAAUCCACUAGUGGAUAUGUGUUCACCUUAGGUGGAAAUCCACUAGUGGAUAUGUGUUCACCUUAGGUGGAAAUCCACUAGUGGAUAUGUGUUCACCUUAGGUGGAAAUCCACUAGUGGAUAUGUGUUCACCUUAGGUGGUGGUGCAGUAUCAUGCAAAUCAGCUAAAUAGACGAUUAUUGCUAGAUCAACUACGGAGUCAGAGUUUGUAGAUUUGGAGUUGCAUGGUUCUGAGGCUGAAUGGCUAAGAAAUUUCUUAGUGAAUAUCCCUUUGAUAAAGGAUGAAUUGCCUCCUAUGUUUAUACAUUGUGAUUGUCAAGCCACAAUCUCUAUUGCGAAGAAUAAAUCUUACAAUUGUAAGAGCAGACACAUGAAACUGAGACAUGACGUUGUUAAGCAACUGCUGGGAGAUGAUGUAAUUUCCAUUGAUUAUGUGAAGUUAUAAUUGGAUUCGGUCAAUUUAUUGACUAAACUUGUGGGAAGAAAAUUAAUUCUUCAACCCUCGCAAAAGAUGGGGUUAAGGCCAAUAUGAUUUUCAAUAGAGAUGGUAACCCAACCUAUGUGAUUGGAGAUCCCAUGAAGUAGAUUCAUAUGGAUAAUAACAAGUCGAUAUUGACACUACGCACUACUAGAGAGUACUUGAAUUGCUUUUAAUUAUGAGUGAUGAGUUAUUAACUCUUAAUGAAUUCAUAGUCCUUAUGGAUGGUGUAUUUAAAGCAGUAUACACUUGAUGGAUUCACCUAUAUGAGAAGUGGAAUGAAGUCGCGCGCUCCUAUGAGAAUUUGUCCUAGUCUCUACAGCUCUCAUGAAUAACCAGGCACACGCACGACUUAUUGGCGCAAAACAACGUUGAACAACAAAAUAUAAGGAUUGAUAGAAUCUCUUACUUACAAAAGAAUAAUUGGUUCAUAGUAAUUUUAUAUUUCACCAACAAUUCUGUAAGUUAAAUUUUAUUAAUAUAAGUUUGGUUCAUAGUCCAAAAGACACCAAACCUAUUGCAUUUGAUCAUACAAAAUUAAGCAAGUUGAGUCCUUCUAUUUCAAAAUUAUAUUAAAAUAUAUGGGGGAUUGUUGGAUAUUUUAAAUAGUUUGAGUCAUAUUUUGAACUCUAUUAGUUUAUGACUUGAGUACUUAUGUCAUUGAAGUAGUAAGACAGUGUCUAGCAUGACUCAAGUUUUGUUUAUACAUUGUAGUCGUAUUUAUUCUAAUUCUUGUAUUAUUAUUUUGAUAUUAUAUGUUCCCAUCUACGUAUAUUUGCCAACAAAGUCAUUAGGUGCUUAAAUGGUAUUCCAGGAAAGGUUUGUCUGCCAGAUAUGUGAUGAAAGUGGACCUCCGAAAAGCCUAUGAUUUUAUUGAAUGAGAGUUCUUGAAAAGCAUGCUAGCAGAACUUGGCGUCCCGUUCAGAUUUAUAUAAUGGAUCAUGGAAUGCAUUUCAAUAGUGUCAUACUCCUUGGUUAUUAACAGAGGGCUUUCAAUAAAGAGGAAUAAGGCAGGGACCUUUUCGUGAUUGCUAUGGAAUACCUGUAAAGAAAACUGAAUGAGGUGCAUAUUUCUAUGGAAAGUACCUUGGAAGAGCCUAACAGGGCAUCCAUCCACAACAUAUAUAGGUUCUUUCUACUAAAGAGGCUUGCUACAGUUG